This is a long non-coding RNA of Passer domesticus (house sparrow), 12264 nucleotides long. RefSeq lists it as uncharacterized. The transcript has 4 exons. NCBI's taxonomy places the organism in Eukaryota, Metazoa, Chordata, Aves, Passeriformes, Passeridae. The record is from RefSeq and is a predicted model, not a curated record.
UGAUCACACAGCCCCAGCCUGGCUGUGUGCCAGCGGGAUGCAGACAGUUUGCACUGGGAUUUGUGGCCAGAGUGACACUCCUGUCUCUUGGGUCAGCCCAGCUGUGCCCCCCUGAGCCCCAGCUCUGUCCCCAAACCUGGCUGUGUGCUCUGUCAGCCAACAGCUGGGCUUGGGGCAGUUCUGCUGACUGCAGGAGGGUUUUUUUAAACAGAUGUUGCUUAGGGAAGUCAACAAGACUGAUCUCCUCUGGCAUUUUCCAGCCUGUAGCAAUGACGAUGCAGAGCUACAUUUUAUGCUGUGAAUGAGUUUGACCUUUUAUAGCUCUUUUUUAGUUGAGCCAAUGCCAGGAAUAGUUUGUGGUUCAGAAGAUAUUUCCCCCCAGCUUGAAGCUGUUUAAAGCUCUCUGAAGCAAGUGCUACAUGAAAGUGCCCCCGCACUUCCUUCGUGCAAGGCAGCUGUGGGGGGAAGAAGGGAAUUUUACCCUUCCCUCACUGCCCACAGACACAUCCCCGGCUCUUCCUGCUGCAGUGACAAGUUAAUCCAUGGCAGUCUGGAUGACAGGGGAUGAUCUCAAGGGGCAGUGCUUGCCUCCUCACUGCUCCAGAGCCGGGGAGUCCCUGGAUGUCUGCUCACACCUGCCUGGCACCACAGGCUUGAACUGAGGAUCCCAGGCUUGAACUGGGAUCUCAGACUUGCACUGUCUCACCCCAGUUUUGGGCUCUGAGGGUGAAGCAGGUCAGGGACCCUGGCAUUGUCCUGGGUCAGUUCAGCCAGGGAAGAAGAGAAGCAAAUGGCUGAAAAGAUCUGAGGGGAGCACUCACCCCUCUGUGUUGAGCUUGGGCUGAUCCUGGGAAUCCCCUCAGUCCUGCCAAUCUCCUUGAAGCUUCAUCAAGCCUGGCCUUGAAAUCCUGCUAAGGAGCUUCACAGGGCACCAGAACUCCCCUUCCCAAUGCUCAGUUUUUACCAUGUCUGAUCUCUGCCCUCCCAAGCUGCUCUAUCCCAGUGGGAUGCAGCUCAGUCUCUGAGCAUCACUUCCUCCCAGUCCCUUGGCAGGAGCGAGUGCCACUGGCAUGGUCUGAGCAGCUGGGGUAGGACACGAGGAGGGUUUCCAUCAGCACUGUGAGAACUGAAGCACAGCUGCAGCGCUUUGCUCCAAGGCAGAGAGCAAGGCAGGACACCCAGUGCUGAUGGGUUGAAGGCUGGAGCAGCCGGAGCCUCCGGCGUUGGCUGCAGCUCCCUGAGGGAUUCCCAUCCUGCUGCAUUGCAGUUAUCCUGACUCAGCACAAAGGAUUUGGAGUCCUUGCUCUGAAGGGGAGCAGGGAUGGAGAGCUGUUGGUGCAGGAUCUGCCUCCCACACUGAAUGAGGGUCUAACAUGUCCAACCCUCCUUAGGGCACAUGUCUGGCACCCUUGUGCCUUGGCAGGUUGCAGUGGGGAGCACAGAGCUCAGCUUGGUGAAGGAAGAGGGGGAUUAAAUAAUGAGAUGGCCCAGCCUGAGCUCUGCACUCACUGCCAGGCUUCCCCUGCCACCAGCCACUGCAGCACCCAGGGCCUGGCAGGGGAUGAUGCCCUGUGGCACCAGCAGCUCCCCAGCUUGGUGCCACGAGCCUGACUUGCUGUGCCAGGGUAUCUCCUGAGCGCCCACGCGUUGUCAUCGUGCUCUGUUCAGGGGAUUUGGAGCCUCUCCCAACCCUGUUCCCCUCAUUGCCAAAUUAGCUGGAAUUUCUGCACAGGGAAUUUUCUUCUCACGUGGGCUCGUAGGCAGGGUGACUGAGAAAGAUCUUUCUGAUAAAUAUUAACCUUUGUAAGGGUGGCCAAACACCCUGGCACGUGAGUCCUGCUGGGCUUCCAGGAACUGGGCUUCGCUGGAAAAGCCAGGAUGGGCACCACACAGACAGCACUUUCAAACCACCUGUGGCUUCAUCACAAGGUAUUUCACCUUUUCAGCUAAUUGACAUUAAGAGGAUAAAAACCCCUUUUGAUUUCCCCUGAAGUUUCCAAAGCCCAGAGAGAGAAGAGGAAGAGCAUGAGCACCAUUUUCCUGAUGGUUUAAAAGACUCUUACCUCACAAACUGUGGCAGAGGAGAGCACAUGGUAACAUCUAAAAGUAGAUGCAGUGCUAUCCCAGGAUGACUCAGACAUUUAGUACUCAGAGGAUAAUUUUCCAAAUGCUACAAGCACUACAUAAAAAGCCAAGCCCACACUGCUCUCCACGUCAGGCUUCCCCCUGCUGUUAAACACUUAAACCCAGAAAAAAUCCCACAAAACCACUGGUUGGUUUAAAGUGCUGAGGUAGGUUAGGUUGGUGCCAUGGGCUCCUUGGCCACCUAUUACCACAGCCAGGUGUGGCAGUGACUCAGGCUGGUGUCUCAGACCCUGGAGCACUGGCAGGAGCUGACGUGCUCCCAACCUGCUCAUUCAGGAGCAGUUGGGACACGUCUCUCCCCAGCCAAGGAGAGCACAGCAGGUUCUGGCCCAGGUGCAAAGCUUGAAAUGAGGUCAGGGAAUUACUAACGUGAGUGGAAGGAGCCAGAGGGAGUUUUUUCUAGUGAGGUCACACAUAGCUGGUUCAUGCCUGGGGCUCCAAGGAGGGAGAGCCAGGAUUGAUAGAGGAAACAAAGCGGGGGAAUUUUCUCUGUGCAGAGAGACAUGAGGGGAUGAAACCAGGGCAAAUGCACAAUUCAUCUUGUUGCAAGUCUGCAGGCCUCUCAGCCCUGAGGCUGCCACCUUGUCGUGCACAAGACAGGAAAAUUCACUCUCCUGCCUGCAGAUUUUGCCACCCUCCCAUGUUGCUCGGCAGCUGACAGUGGGCUGAGCCCUCCAGGCUCUGUGGGAGAGGACUCAGGGAGUGCUAACACACACCACACUUGUUUGCAUUCUCCCAUCACUAUUCCAGAGGCACCAAUUUUAUCUUAUUUUGAAGCACAUUUCUGUUUUCCUCCUGAUGGUAACAUUUUCCUUUCUGGCUGUAAAUCUGUGUGACAUGUCCAGGCUGUCCCUGCUGGGACUCAUCCCUCACAGCAGUCACCCAACAGUGGGACCUAAUUUCCUGGUGCCAGGGCCAGAGGGGACAGUGCCAGCCCUGUUGGAGAAGCAGAGGAGCCUCCUAAGAGUGGGAAGUCUCCAAAAGCAGAGAAGGCAAAGGCACAGCAGGUGACCUGUCCCAGAUGGGGCCGGGGGACACAGGGGAACUGAGGGGUGAGGACAAGGAGCCCCAUGACGAGUCGGUGUCACUUUGGCCAGCUACCUUGGGCAACACGUGGGAAAGGUGGGACUGCACAAGACAGCUCAAGAGAGAUGUGAGGAAUGUGGUAUUCAAGAGGACUCUCAUAACAACACAGGAAUUUUGAAAUUUCAUUUGGCAUCAGCAGCUUCAAGGAAAAAGUGCAACCAAGGAGGAAUGAAGAGAUUCCUGUCUCCUGAUUUUGUGUUUAAAAAAAAAGUCAGGCAGAAUUCCAGCACUGUGUAAACUGCCAAUGUUCCUCCUCUCCUUGCUUCCAGUUGACGAGGAUCUCAUUUAUGAAAAACCUUUAGGUAAUUUUUUCCCCUGCUACUAUUUCAUACUGUGCUAUCCAUGUUUUCUGCGUGUGAUGUGUGUCAUUUUCCAUGAGGUCUGAUUCUUUUUAGCAUUAGUUUGUUGCUUUACCAGGAAUUUUAGGCAUCACUCCCUUCUGAUGUAAUGGGUGAAGGCUUGUGAUCAGAUGCAAGUUGUGCAGAUGAAGAGAUUUGAGAGCAGACACUGCUGAGAGCUGGGACUAGAUCAUCAUGAAGGCACUUUGGGAAUAAAAAAAAGCUUGAAUGUGUGUAAAGAAAUGAAUGGAAAGCCCCCAGGAGUCGACAUGGAAGCUGGUUUUACCAAAGGAGCAGAGAAACAGCUCCCUUAGGGAUUGCAGAAGGACAAAGAACAAAACCCAAGGGUAAAAUUGCAGGAAAUGCCCAGGGUCAAGUAAACAAUAAUGUGUUAUCCCAGGAAUGUUUCACAUGGGAUUUCCAGGUGGUAUAAAAUUCCAGUGUAAAAAGCACCUGCUCCAGUUUUUCAGCAUUCAUUGUAAGAGCUCAACAGAGGGGAAAGGCUCUUGGCAUCUCACCACUCCCCCGUAUCUCUCAGGAGAGACAUUUGAGGCAAAUUUGAGUAGAAAACUGUGCCAGGAGGGAAUUGUGAGAGGUCACCCAGCCUAGAACCUGUCUGCACGGCAGGGGAAAUUCAACCUGUCUUCAUUCAUUGUUCCAACUGGUUUUGGGAAAUCUAUAGACAAAUACUCAGGAGCCUGAAAACAGCCCCAAAAGUGAAGGCAAACUGAGCCUGUGGUGCUGCUUUGGGUAAAAGCUGAGGAGCAGCAGCAGAGCUGGACAUGGAGGCAGGAUUCACUGUCCUUCAUGUGUGGACACUGCUGGUUGUGUGCCAGGAAUGACCAUCAGAUUUUUUAAUUUAAAGAGAUGUAUGUCAAGUGCAGUGACACCACCACUCGUCCUUUCUCUAGAAGUUCUCUCCUUGAUACAAUUUGCCAGGAGAGAGAUCCCAGGAUAGUGUUAAAAAUCCAGUGAAACACCUAGAUCAAUUCAGAACCCUCCAAAAGUACUUUAAGGCAGGUUUUUAGCUGAGCCUUACAUUUCCAGACCUGUACUGGCAUGUCAGAGUCAGCUGAACACUUCUGGAAAUCACGAUUAACCCAACAGUCUCAUAUACAGCUAAAACAUCACUGCUGAACAGACUCAUUCACGAUUGUGAUCUGUAUUGUAUCAGCAGAUCCUCUCCCUAAAUAAACUGCUGGAUUUGCUGGCUGGAUUUGUGGCAGCAGUACACAAGCAAGAUGGUAAGAAAGGAGAGACUAAAAAUAGCUCAGUUGGCAAUAAAACCAUACUACAGCACUGGAUAUUAAGUCCACUUAUUGAUGAUGGCUUGAUUUCAGUUUAUGAGUCAGAAGGAUGGCCAGGGGCACAGACCCCAAAGAGCCUCUGUUUGCUCCACUUUCUGAGACAGAUGUUAGCAGCCAGAGACUGGACUAAGAUGCUGGACUUACUCUGAAGCUGGGUCUGAUUUGUCUUGGCAUUUUCCAUGGUUCUGUGGAAGGGAAUGCCGUGGGAAGUGGGAUGAGCUGUGACCUCAGCACCUCUGCCAUGCAGACCCUCAGCGCUGCCUUGCGUGAGGCUGGGAUUAGAUCAGAGCAGCCAAGAGUGCUGUAAUCCACUUACUCUGCAUCCUUCCAGAGCUCCAAGUGAAGAUGGAAUUGCCAGCACACACACGCAGCACUGGAACUCAAAGAAAUGCUUCAGAAGUGUUUUUUUUUAGCUCGUGCCUCCUGCUGCUACCAGCUAUUGCAUGUUAACGUAAGAAAUUCCAGAUGGGUGAGAGAAAUGUAAUCAUCUGUCAAUGCUCAAAUAAGGCCAAGUGGGAUUCUCUGCUGAAGUCAUUGAACUCUUACCUUUAUUUCAUGGACAGCAAAGGGAACAGGGAUUGCAAAGUGCAGAGGAUCAAUCUGUAGCCCCUUGGGAAGAUAAACCAGCUCUUUAAGCAAUUUCAUUGCUGUGAACAGGCAUGGGCAAAACAUGUCCAAUGCAAAUGUAUAAAAAAAUCUGGAAAAUGGACUAAAUUUGAAUUCGGAAACAUUCUUGCUUUGUUUGAAGUCUGGUAGAGGGGUCAUUUGAAACCAAAAAAGCAUUUCAAAUAAGUCUGUGCUUCCCAUAACUAUAAAAUAUAAAAAUUGUUUCAUUUCCGAUCAAAAUAUAAAAAAUUGUUCCAUCUGCUGGGAUACUGCUGUGGAAAGUCACUCUGAAUUAGAAUGAACUUUACACUGGUGGUUUCAGAGAAAUCCUCCCUGAUUUGUUGUUGCCAGAGCACACUCAUACAUACCUACCCCAGCGUGGGUAUGUCUCUGGGAAAUCGACUCUCCUACGCCUGAGAACUCGGAAUCCUGAGGUCAAAACACUGCCUUUAAGACACCCUGCUGAUAUGGACCACAAAGCAGUCUGUGUCUAGAAACUGUUUUGUCCUUUCUGGUUUCCCAGGCAAAAAAAGAGAGCAAGAGAUCUGAAAACAAUAUGUGGAAAUCUUGGAAAAUCCCUUGUGUCCUAAAGAAUAGACAUUUCAAGCUACUUGACUGAAGUGUUUUGACUCUCAGCAAGGAACUUUUGUUCAUUAGUUACUGUUUUACAUCUUCAGUUUAAUUGUCAGUACCAACUCUGCCAACCAAAGCAGCCAGGGCCACAAAGUCACCUUGAAAACACCCAGGCUUUCCAAGUGUUUUAAAAGAACCCAGUGACAGAGAUGCUCCUGAUAAUCAAAGGCCAUUGGUUUUCCAAAACUUCAGUAUUCUUGAAAAUCUCAGCCCAGCAUCACAUGCAGCACCCAACAAAAGUGCCACUUCCUAUAGUGGGUGAGUGAUUUCCAAGGGAUCCUGCACAUUCACAGAACACACAAAAAAAAGACUGGCUCACAGGUCUGAAGGAGCCUUAUUUCUCCUACUCAGAAGCACAGAUUCUGCUCUUCAGUUUGCAAUGUUUUCUGAAGAAAACAUGAACUUAAUGACACAGCCCAGCUGCCUUUGUGCUUUGACCCAAAUGUGAGCAUGAUGUUCUCUCUCAAAAAAUAUCUAUGAGUUCCAUGCAGGAAAUUUAGCAGAAAGUUCUUUGACAGAUGCCAACUAAGAGACUUUAAACAAAUACUAUGGACUGGCUCAAGUACAGCUUGAAUGAUGGCUCCUUCAUUAUUAUGUCAGCAAACAGCACAGAACGUUCACCAGUGCCAGGAGUAAAUAAAACAGCAGAGGAGCAACACCCAUUGCCAAACCACCAUGAAAUUCAGGUAAAAACUCAUAUUCAGGGAAAAGAUAAUGAUAUAUCAGCAGAUCUAGCUGAGUAGGUGAUGUAAGCACUGAGCACUGUUUGUUUUUUGAGUGCUGCCUUUCUGUUUUUUCUACAAUUCAAAAAAAAAAAAACCUAAGGGCUAAGUACUCUUACUUCCAAAUACCACUGUUUCAGCCAGGGAAGUUCAAAUAAGUAGGAAGCUUUAUUGCAUACUGAUUUCUUCCUGCCUAGAGGUUGUUUUCAGCUUAGAAAGAUCACAGAGAGGGCCUUGAUUCACUCCAGUUACAGAAGAUUACUCUUAGGAUUAAAGAGAAUGCACAAAGAGACUGGCAGUCAGAGCAAGGCAGUGCUUCUGGAAUCUGUGUCCUGCUAGGAAUAUCCAUUUCAACCAGCACAGCUGGAUUUGAUGAGGUCUUUUCCAGCAUUAACAAUUCCAUGAUCCAAUGACCAUUGUGCAUUUGCUGAUUUCCACAUUUGCUUUUACCACAGGUUAAAGUUAUGAAUCAACACCCCGAGUGAAAAUCAAGUUCUAAUCAAUGCUGUCUCUCCCCACUACACAAACAGCAGCAUAACAGGGCCACAACACCCUGGAGGAACAUGGGGCUGGAGCAGCAAGGACCUUGGCAGCUAGGAGGAACAGCCAUUCCCCAGGCUGCUCCUCCCCCUUCCACAUUCACCUAUGCAUUUCCUUCAGGAGUUCCUUCAUGUCACCAGCCUCCAGCUUGUUAGACUCACAAAUCAGGAAUCACAAAGUAAGAUAGUAGAAAAUUAAGUCUUUUGCAUUGGCAACAAUGUGUAGGUUGCUACAUAGGAUGCUUGGAGGCCAAUGACAAUACUUAAUGUAAGAGAUUCCCACCCCCCACCCUGUUGGAAUCCUUGGCUCAAGGUUUUUUUGGACACAGGAAGAGAAUAUUUGUCUCCAAACUUAGGAAAGAAUCAGGUGUAAUAGGAAUCCAGUGGAUCACCUUCUUUAAAGGGAGCACAAAGUGUGUGGAAAGAGACUGUCCAUUGCUUGGGUGGCUCGGAGCUCCUACGUGAUGUCCUUCUUCCUUGGGGGGCGGUGGAUGUUCCUCACCACACACUUCACCAUCCAUUCAAUUCCUUCAUUCACCCCUUUGCUGAGGGAGGAAGGCAAGCAGAAAAGGUUUUAAAAUAAAGCAACAACAAGAAGCAACCAAGAACAGAAACAUGGAUCAUACAGGCCCUAACUAAGCCCUUACACGAGGAAGGGAGGGGCUCUACACAGUUAUUUGUUGGCAUUUCUGUGUUAUUUUUCACACAGGCAAACAACAGGGAUCUGAUUUCUUUUAGCUCAGCAAUAUAUACCUCCAUCCUUUAUUUUUCUGUUAUUUGUCCAAGUCUACACCCAACUUAGUCACCAACUCUGUGGAAAUCUUGGGAUGAACAAGCAUCAAACCCACCUGACAGCUGGUUUGAGGUCAUUUUGCCACAAACCUCACAUUAGUUGUAUAAGAUCUUGCAAUCUUGGCUCCAUCUUUGUGUAAUCAUCUGUGCUGGGGCUGCCAAGCAACACCUUGCUGGUCUGCACAGCUCCCCAGCCAUGACUUCCAUGAGUUAUUCUUUUAGUGCAAGCUCAAACUGGAAUUUUGAAAGGAAAUUCCACACAGAUCAAAACUAGAAAUGUUUGCACAAAUAAAGUUAUUAUCUACUACUUCUCUUCCAGUCAGUGCUUGAACACUGUUCUUGUGGUCAUUCACCUGCUUAAUGGCAUGUGAUUUGUAGCAAUGCAGACAACAGAUUUUUUUUUUUCAUGGUUCAGGAAGUUUUUGUUAUCCUUUGCAGUAACUUGUAUGAUAACACAGAAAAAAAUUCAAAGCUCUCAGUUCAGCCCAGGCAGUAAUUCAGCCAGGAGUGUUUCCACCACAUGGAACAAAACUUUUGAUUUAUGCCAAGAGGCACUUUUCACUGAAAGAACUGAAAGUACAAAGAACAAAAGUACUGCGAGACUGGAUACGCAAUAAUGAUGCUGAGAUGUCAAGAAUCCAGUGGGCUGGUCAAGGUCGUGGCACGCAGCUUUGUAAGACCCAAAUUAGGGUCUGUUUUAGUCAUCCAAUCUUAAACCACAGGCAUCCCCAUGUAAGAGGACUCCUGGAAACUGUGAUAUCAUCCCCAUCACGAAGCUCUUCUGCAUGCCAAAGAAUAUGAAUGCAGAAACAUAAUUAUGGCAGCAGCAGUGAAGCACCACCCAUUUCUCAGGCAGAGGCAUCAACAGUGGUAUUUUCAAUUGACUUCUAACCUAAAAACCAGGAGUUGCAGCAAACCAACAUCUGCAGGGAUUAUUGUGUAAGGAGAAGGGAUGAUACAGGACAAGAAAUAUGCCUCCAAGUCCCUCUGCUCUCAGCCAGGAAUACAUUUCCACUGUGUUUUACAGGCAAGACUGACAGCUGAAGUUACUGAGCUGGUGCAAGCCCAAGGAUCUCAAACAAGUGUCUGACAGUGCUGGAAGGAAGCACAGCUCCUUUUCAAGGCUUAAUAACUCGUGUAGUGCUGCUCUGUGUGUGACAUCCCACAGCUGCUCAGUCAACCAAUUCUCAGUCUACCCCUUCUCAUACUCACCCAGUAAGGGCUGAGCAGGCUUGUGUCAGGCAGUCUCUCUUCCCAAUUUUGUUAAUGCAGUCACUAAAUGCUGUCUUGAUAUCGGGUAUCGACAGACAAGUCUGCAAAGGAAACCAAAGCAGAGCUUUUUUGUGCUACAAGACAUGGUGACCUUUUUCCACAAUGAAUCCUACCAGGACUGCAGGCCUACCAUGACAUCAGUCAGGAUGGUAAUGCUAUCAGGUUAAACCCACCCACCCACCAACACAGUAAACUCACCUCUUCACAUUCCAAAGAAAUGAGCAUAUUCUUUUUUCAACCAAGAGAAUGCUGUUUGCUGACAGCACACACUGCCUCACCUCCCUGAUCCUUAAUCUGUACAGUUCUAAGCAAACAGUCCUGAAAAUGAGCACAACCUGCACCCUCUAAUGAUAUCCAUUCCAAGCUGCUCAACAGCUCAUAUUUACCAGGACACUACAAGAGCUUUAAUAUUUACAAAGCCUUUUGAAAGAGUGUCCCUGCCACAAGCUCAGCUGACUCUUUGCCAGCAUCCUGGGCACUCUCACAAAACAAGCUGUGAUUUUUCCUCAGUUCUCAGCACUACAGCCAUGUCCCACCAGCACUUCUCUGUCUGCAUUCAGAGAAAAACACUGGCAGCACUGAAUGCAGCACACUUUCUGAUCACUGUGCUCUUGACCCCCAGCAGGUCCUGAGCUUCUGUAAGUCUGCAGGAGGCUGCUGGGAGCAACACCACAAAUCAUAACCCCCCAGUAAAUCAGUGGAUUACUUUCCCCACAUAAAUCACACUUUCACCACAAAAAUCUUAAAAGUACAACAAAAGCAAACCUGCCCAACUGAAGCCUGGACUUGCACCUCCCUGAGCACUCAGUGUUCAUUUUUCCCCCAGAAGCCUUGGACAAGCCAUUUAAGCACUUCAGCUGGCCAUGAGCUCACAUUCCCUCCUCUCUGCAAAGACAUUCUGGACCUUCAACAAGUCUCAAAUAUGUGUUUGGAGCCUUCAGUCAGGCCCACAUACGUGUUUUGGACAAAUGUUUACACAAAUGCCAAACUGGACCCUUUGUGAGUCCUGAGGAUUGGACAAUUGGACACAAACUCUGAGAGAACAGAAAUAUUAAAAUUGUUACCAGCCAUCCAUUUGCAAAACAGUGAUUCUGGAGAAAUUAAACACUGGAAAUUUUUGUGGACAACAGAAGUAGGUUUCAUUGCUUAUACGUAGGAAGAGAUCUUAAGAAAUGGCUUCCAAUUCACCCAGUGCCCUUGACUCCAUUAACUGUGCAACUGUUUGAUGACUGUACUUUCUUAUGACCUCAGAUGCAUUUUAAACUUGCCCUUUCAAUCAGUGACCUGGAAACUGUAUCCAAAAACAUUACUGACAUCAUUCUGCAGAACCCUCAAUUUAGGUCAGGAUUUUUGACAAGUGAAAAAUGCGCAGUUCAUAGAGAUGAGCUGUCAGCCACAGGAUACACAGUUAAUUAAAAAAAACAACAACAACAAUUACUAACUUUAGACGGCGUCAGACUGGGCUUGGGAGCUGGAAUUCAAACCAGUAGAUCUGGAAGAUGGGCAAGAGAUUACAACCAACCCAGCAUUCUCUACGGUUUGUAAAAGCCUGGCAUGGUGUCCACUGCCCAGUAAGAAAGGCAGGUCCAAAUGCUUCUUGGUUUUACCCAAAGCCCUGGACAAGUCCAUUACCCAACAACUGGGAAGGAGAAGCAUGUCAGUAAUUUGAGCUAUUUUUCACAUCUUUUUUCAGUCAAUGAGACUUGGCAGCUGAAAUUGAGCAAAUGUUUGUUGAAAUAUACUUGAAGCUUCUCAGAGUUUAAUGUCAUUGUAUAAUCAUAUACCUUUGAGUAUAUCCUUUACAACUUCCUCUUUCUACCAUUCCUUCUUCAGUCUACCCUUCCUUUUCUGAAUGAUAAUACAUUUUAAAAUAUUUUAAAAGAAAUCAGAUAGUGUGUUCAAGAUACAAAGUAACAACAGAGAGCACAGUCAUGCUGUCCUUGGUUCCUCAAUUUCUACUUGCACAGGUAGCAAAGCAAUCAGGCAAUGAACUUCCCCACACCACCAGCAGAAAAGGACACCUGCACAUACCCAGCAGCACAGAGAACCCACAUCCUUCACCCUGCCCAUCCUUGAAGCCUUUAAGAGUCCAUUUUGCCCAGUGCAGCUAACAAUUACAGCCAUUUUUAUCUCCCAGUGUAAACCAUUGUUAUAAUUUCCCUUUCUCACCUUCAGGUAGAGCUGUGGCCUGCCCCACCUUCCACAGAGCUGCCCAGCCAUGGCUUUCCAUGGAAAGCUGUAUCAGAAAAGAGUUUUGCUUCUGAGGAAACUUUUGUUUCACACUGUCACAGCAGGACUGCAUCACCACUCCUGUUUUGGGAAACAUCAUUUUCCCCUUGGGAUGAAGCAGAGCAGCACAGCAGACAGGGAAGCUGUGGGAGGCCUUCAGUUGGAAACCAGAAUGACUUUCAUGCAGAAGGUCUGUUUUCUAACAGCUGUGUGGAAAUGAGUACUCUGCUACUCACCAGGACUCCUUGCUUUUCCAGAGGCAUGAGGAGGCUUUUCAACAUUCUGGAGAUUUCAAAUUAAAUUUCCAAAAUUUAUCAUUAAAUGAGGAUGGCAAAACUUCCUCCUAUACAUGAGUCAUCAUAUCAUCAUGCAGCAUCCAGUAAUUUUCAGAUUGUUAAAUUUCAGAUGCUGUUUUUGACAGGUCAUGCUUUUGCAGCAUUUUGAAUAGUGUUGCAUAAUGAGCCAUUCUAUCCUCAAAUUGUAACAGUUCAUUGGAAAGCAUAGAAAUAUAAACCUUGUGUACAUCUUUCAACAGCUGCAUUCACAUCAAAACAGCAAAUACCAGUUCUGAUUUAGCUGGUUUUUCUGCAAUAAG